This is a long non-coding RNA of Heterocephalus glaber (naked mole-rat), 646 nucleotides long. Lineage: Eukaryota; Metazoa; Chordata; Mammalia; Rodentia; Bathyergidae. The record is from Ensembl.
UGAGGCUGCAGCCUCUUGAAGUGGAGAAGCAGUUCAGCAUGCUCACGGUUGACCGUCUCCACCCAAGUGAGGCAUAUUGAGGCAUGUCUUGAGGGAAACAAGAUUCCUUUUGAGAUUCUGAGACCAAAACAGAAGUAAAAGAGAUCAUUCAGGCAUUGUCAAGAUAAUUUUAAUAUUAUUCUAUCAAAAGAUAAAGGGACCUAAAUGAAAAACCUAAGGCACAGAAUGAAUGAUGAGAAGGAAAAGUGGUAAAUAUAUGAAAACUGACACACAGUGAGGCCAGGUCACAGGUCCAAACAGCACAGCCUGGACUGAACUUCCCAUCACCCCUGGAAAGCCAAAUCUUGAGGCAAGCAGACGGCCACCCACCCACCGCCUGUAGUUCUUCUGGUGAACUCCAUGAUUCACAGGUCCCUGGAUGUUGGUCCUUAGAUACCUGUUCUCUUCUCACCUUCUGAGGUCCAAGUGCUGCAGAGGGAGCCCCCAACCUGUGAGGAGAAGCCAGCCAGGCUUUGCCAAGAGACACUGUGUUAUAGAUGAAGCAGUUACAAAAUUUUCUUCUCUGGCAACUUUCUGACCCUCUGCCACAUGUCACUUUGGACUCCUUGGCUACAAGAGUUGAUUUUUUUAUCUUCUUCACUACCUU